Molecule: transfer RNA, 63 nt
Filed under: Calanus simillimus
Lineage: Eukaryota; Metazoa; Arthropoda; Copepoda; Calanoida; Calanidae
Description: tRNA-Leu
Source: RNAcentral
UUUAAGGUGGCAGAAAAAUGCACUAAUCUUAAAAGUUAGCUAUAAAUUAUAAUUUCCUUAAAA